UCUUCCUGUUUAAAAAAAGCACACACAAAUCAAAGGACAAAGGACAAAUGAGGUAUUAGCUACUGUUAGUACCUACCAUUAGAUGCCAUGCAAAAAAUACUGCCUCCACUCUUAUUUGGGGUGGAGUGAGAGAGAAAGAACGCAAAACAGGCCCAGAGACAAAAUGGUACACAGGUAGCUUUAGCUAAACCCCUUGUUUAUGGACUUGUUCCCCUCACUUCUUGGAGAAAAUAGCAAACAAAAACAAAAUGGCAUUCCUGACCUAACAGCUGUAGAUGGCAGAGGAGCAGAGGGACACGGACAGAAUAUCGGUCCGAACCCAGCAGAAUUGAUCAUUGCUCUUACCCUGCGAUUUCUGCUCCUGGGCACUGGUGUUGGAGGAAGCCGACUGACUCUUGUAAGAAACUUUUAAAAUAAAAACCUAAGUUACAUCUGUUCUUCAGAUGCAGGACUUCUGUUCUUCUGGAAUAUUUUUAAGGUACCCGUGCCCCUUAG
Molecule: long non-coding RNA, 495 nt
Organism: Oxyura jamaicensis (ruddy duck)
Lineage: Eukaryota; Metazoa; Chordata; Aves; Anseriformes; Anatidae
Exons: 2
Source: RefSeq, a predicted model, not a curated record